RNAcentral lists this ribosomal RNA (492 nucleotides) under uncultured bacterium. RNAcentral describes it as "partial 16S ribosomal RNA". It matches the Rfam family "Bacterial small subunit ribosomal RNA", at positions 29 to 507 of the family's 1533-position model. The record is from RNAcentral.
AGUGAACGCUGGCGGUAGGCCUAACACAUGCAAGUCGAACGGCAGCACAGUAGGAGCUUGCUCUUACGGGUGGCGAGUGGCGGACGGGUGAGGAAUACAUCGGAAUCUACUUUUUCGUGGGGGAUAACGUAGGGAAACUUACGCUAAUACCGCAUACGACCUACGGGUGAAAGCAGGGGAUCUUCGGACCUUGCGCGAUUGAAUGAGCCGAUGUCGGAUUUGCUAGUUGGCGGGGUAAAGGCCCACCAAGGCGACGAUCCGUAGCUGGUCUGAGAGGAUGAUCAGCCACACUGGAACUGAGACACGGUCCAGACUCCUACGGGAGGCAGCAGUGGGGAAUAUUGGACAAUGGGCGCAAGCCUGAUCCAGCCAUACCGCGUGGGUGAAGAAGGCCUUCGGGUUGUAAAGCCCUUUUGUUGGGAAAGAAAAGCAGCAGGUUAAUACCCCGCUGUUCUGACGGUACCCAAAGAAUAAGCACCGGCUAACUUCGUG